RNAcentral lists this ribosomal RNA (476 nucleotides) under Afroedura nivaria. Its description in RNAcentral is "partial 16S ribosomal RNA". It matches the Rfam family "Bacterial large subunit ribosomal RNA", at positions 1944 to 2604 of the family's 2925-position model. Lineage: Eukaryota; Metazoa; Chordata; Lepidosauria; Squamata; Gekkonidae. The record is from RNAcentral.
AACCGUGCAAAGGUAGCGUAAUCACUUGCCCCUUAAAUAGGGGCUUGUAUGAAAGGUUAAUUGAGGAUAACUCUGUCUUUUAUGACCAAUCAAUGAAACUGAUCUCCCAGUACAAAAGCUGGGAUAAACCCAUAAGACGAGAAGACCCUGUGGAGCUUUAAGCAAUAGUGUUACUACAACCUCACAACCACUAAGCCAGUAUAUAACACUAGCUUUAAGUUGGGGCGACUGCGGAGAAAAAAAUAACCUCCGUGAAACAGGCUAAGGNCCACCACUAGGUACACACACCAAAUAGUAAAUAAUUUGACCCAGCAAAACUGAUCAUCGAACCAAGUUACCCCAGGGAUAACAGCGCCAUCCCCUUCAAGAGUCCAUAUCGCCAAGGGGGCUUACGACCUCGAUGUUGGAUCAGGACCCCCAGAUGGUGCAGCCGCUAUCAAAGGUUCGUUUGUUCAACGAUUAAAGUCCUACGUGAU